This 422-nucleotide ribosomal RNA is filed under the name uncultured prokaryote. RNAcentral's name for it is "bacterial SSU rRNA". It matches the Rfam family "Bacterial small subunit ribosomal RNA", at positions 355 to 774 of the family's 1533-position model. The record is from RNAcentral.
UGAGGAAUAUUGGUCAAUGGGCGCAGGCCUGAACCAGCCAUCCCGCGUGCAGGCAGACGGCCCUAUGGGUUGUAAACUGCUUUUCCAGGGGGAGAAUUUUUCUGUCGUGACAGGAAUUGACGGUACCCUGGGAAUAAGCAUCGGCCAACUCCGUGCCAGCAGCCGCGGUAAUACGGAGGAUGCGAGCGUUAUCCGGAUUUAUUGGGUUUAAAGGGUGCGUAGGCGGAUAGAUAAGUCAGUGGUGAAAACCUGCAGCUUAACUGUAGACUUGCCGUUGAUACUGUCAGUCUUGAGUAUGGUCAAUGUAGGCGGAAUGUGUAAUGUAGCGGUGAAAUGCUUAGAUAUUACACAGAACACCGAUUGCGAAGGCAGCUUGCUGGGCCAUUACUGACGCUGAUGCACGAAAGCGUGGGGAGCGAACA